UGCAUGUCUCAGUGCAAGCCGCAUUAAGGUGAAACCGCGAAUGGCUCAUUAAAUCAGUUAUGGUUCCUUAGAUGGUGGACAGUUACUUGGAUAACUGUGGUAAUUCUAGAGCUAAUACAUGCAACUCGGUCCCGACCGGAGACGGAAGGGACGCUUUUAUUAGAUCAAAACCAAUCGGUCCUCGCGGCCGUUUGCCUUGGUGACUCUGAAUAAAUUGUGGCAGAUCGCACGGUCUCCGUACCGGCGACGCAUCUUUCAAAUGUCUGCCUUAUCAACUGUCGAUGGUAGGUUCUGCGCCUACCAUGGUUGUAACGGGUAACGGGGAAUCAGGGUUCGAUUCCGGAGAGGGAGCCUGAGAAACGGCUACCACAUCCAAGGAAGGCAGCAGGCGCGCAAAUUACCCACUCCCGGCACGGGGAGGUAGUGACGAAAAAUAACGAUACGGGACUCAUCCGAGGCCCCGUAAUCGGAAUGAGCACACUUUAAAUCCUUUAACGAGUAUCCAUUGGAGGGCAAGUCUGGUGCCAGCAGCCGCGGUAAUUCCAGCUCCAAUAGCGUAUAUUAAAGUUGUUGCGGUUAAAAAGCUCGUAGUCGGACUUGUGUCCCACGCUGCCGGUUCACCGCCCGUCGGUGUCUAACUGGCAUGCACGUGCGGACGUCCUGCCGGUGGCCCGAUUCCGGCCCGAUUUUCCCGGGGUGCGGAAACGUAUCCCCGGGGGCGGGUGUCUGGAUAGGGCCUACUCAUACCCGUCGCGGUGCUCUUAACCGAGUGUCUCGAUGGACCAGCACGUUUACUUUGAACAAAUUAGAGUGCUUAAAGCAGGCAGCAGCCGCCUGAAUACCGAGUGCAUGGAAUAAUGGAAUAGGACCUCGGUUCUAUUUUGUUGGUUUUCGGAAUCCCCGAGGUAAUGAUCAAUAGGGACAGACGGGGGCAUUCGUAUUGCGACGUUAGAGGUGAAAUUCUUGGAUCGUCGCAAGACGGACCGAAGCGAAAGCAUUUGCCAAGAAUGUUUUCUCUGAUCAAGAACGAAAGUUAGAGGUUCGAAGGCGAUCAGAUACCGCCCUAGUUCUAACCAUAAACGAUGCCAGCCAGCAAUCCGCCGAAGUUCCUCCGAUGACUCGGCGGGCGGCUUCCGGGAAACCAAAGCUUUUGGGUUCCGGGGGAAGUAUGGUUGCAAAGCUGAAACUUAAAGGAAUUGACGGAAGGGCACCACCAGGAGUGGAGCCUGCGGCUUAAUUUGACUCAACACGGGAAA
This 1256-nucleotide ribosomal RNA is filed under the name Pallidionicus sp. MD-2022. RNAcentral's name for it is "SSU rRNA". It matches the Rfam family "Eukaryotic small subunit ribosomal RNA", at positions 52 to 1212 of the family's 1831-position model. The record is from RNAcentral. Lineage: Eukaryota; Metazoa; Arthropoda; Insecta; Blattodea; Blattidae.